GGGUUGUGAGGUUAAGCGACUAAGCGUACACGGUGGAUGCCCUGGCAGUCAGAGGCGAUGAAGGACGUGCUAAUCUGCGAUAAGCGUCGGUAAGGUGAUAUGAACCGUUAUAACCGGCGAUUUCCGAAUGGGGAAACCCAGUGUGAUUCGUCACACUAUCAUUACGUGAAUACAUAGCGUAAUGAAGCGAACCGGGGGAACUGAAACAUCUAAGUACCCCGAGGAAAAGAAAUCAACCGAGAUUCCCCCAGUAGCGGCGAGCGAACGGGGAGCAGCCCAGAGUCUGAAUCAGCUUGUGUGUUAGUGGAACGGUCUGGAAAGUCCGACGGUACAGGGUGAUAGUCCCGUACACCAAAAUGCACAGGUUGUGAACUCGAAGAGUAGGGCGGGACACGUGGUAUCCUGUCUGAAUAUGGGGGGACCAUCCUCCAAGGCUAAAUACUCCUGACUGACCGAUAGUGAACCAGUACCGUGAGGGAAAGGCGAAAAGAACCCCGGCGAGGGGAGUGAAAAAGAACCUGAAACCGUGUACGUACAAGCAGUGGGAGCCUCUUUAUGGGGUGACUGCGUACCUUUUGUAUAAUGGGUCAGCGACUUAUAUUCUGUAGCAAGGUUAACCGUAUAGGGGAGCCGAAGGGAAACCGAGUCUUAACUGGGCGUUAAGUUGCAGGGUAUAGACCCGAAACCCGGUGAUCUAGCCAUGGGCAGGUUGAAGGUUGGGUAACACUAACUGGAGGACCGAACCGACUAAUGUUGAAAAAUUAGCGGAUGACUUGUGGCUGGGGGUGAAAGGCCAAUCAAACCGGGAGAUAGCUGGUUCUCCCCGAAAGCUAUUUAGGUAGCGCCUCGUGAAUUCAUCUUCGGGGGUAGAGCACUGUUUCGGCUAGGGGGUCAUCCCGACUUACCAACCCGAUGCAAACUGCGAAUACCGAAGAAUGUUAUCACGGGAGACACACGGCGGGUGCUAACGUCCGUCGUGAAGAGGGAAACAACCCAGACCGCCAGCUAAGGUCCCAAAGUCAUGGUUAAGUGGGAAACGAUGUGGGAAGGCACAGACAGCCAGGAUGUUGGCUUAGAAGCAGCCAUCAUUUAAAGAAAGCGUAAUAGCUCACUGGUCGAGUCGGCCUGCGCGGAAGAUGUAACGGGGCUAAACCAUGCACCGAAGCUGCGGCAGCGACACUAUGUGUUGUUGGGUAGGGGAGCGUUCUGUAAGCCGUUGAAGGUGUGCUGUGAGGUAUGCUGGAGGUAUCAGAAGUGCGAAUGCUGACAUAAGUAACGAUAAUGCGGGUGAAAAACCCGCACGCCGGAAGACCAAGGGUUCCUGUCCAACGUUAAUCGGGGCAGGGUGAGUCGACCCCUAAGGCGAGGCCGAAAGGCGUAGUCGAUGGGAAACAGGUUAAUAUUCCUGUACUUGGUGUUACUGCGAAGGGGGGACGGAGAAGGCUAUGUUAGCCGGGCGACGGUUGUCCCGGUUUAAGCAUGUAGGCGGAGGUUCCAGGUAAAUCCGGUACCUUUUAACGCUGAGGUGUGAUGACGAGGCACUACGGUGCUGAAGUAACAAAUGCCCUGCUUCCAGGAAAAGCCUCUAAGCAUCAGGUAACACGAAAUCGUACCCCAAACCGACACAGGUGGUCAGGUAGAGAAUACCAAGGCGCUUGAGAGAACUCGGGUGAAGGAACUAGGCAAAAUGGUGCCGUAACUUCGGGAGAAGGCACGCUGAUAUGUAGGUGAAGUGAUUUACUCAUGGAGCUGAAAUCAGUCGAAGAUACCAGCUGGCUGCAACUGUUUAUUAAAAACACAGCACUGUGCAAACACGAAAGUGGACGUAUACGGUGUGACGCCUGCCCGGUGCCGGAAGGUUAAUUGAUGGGGUUAUCCGUAAGGAGAAGCUCUUGAUCGAAGCCCCGGUAAACGGCGGCCGUAACUAUAACGGUCCUAAGGUAGCGAAAUUCCUUGUCGGGUAAGUUCCGACCUGCACGAAUGGCGUAAUGAUGGCCAGGCUGUCUCCACCCGAGACUCAGUGAAAUUGAACUCGCUGUGAAGAUGCAGUGUACCCGCGGCAAGACGGAAAGACCCCGUGAACCUUUACUAUAGCUUGACACUGAACACUGGUCCUUGAUGUGUAGGAUAGGUGGGAGGCUUUGAAGUGUGGACGCCAGUCUGCAUGGAGCCAUCCUUGAAAUACCACCCUUUAAUGGCUGGUGUUCUAACGUGGACCCGUAAUCCGGGUUGCGGACAGUGUCUGGUGGGUAGUUUGACUGGGGCGGUCUCCUCCUAAAGAGUAACGGAGGAGCACGAAGGUUAGCUAAUCCUGGUCGGACAUCAGGAGGUUAGUGCAAAGGCAUAAGCUAGCUUGACUGCGAGAGUGACGGCUCGAGCAGGUGCGAAAGCAGGUCUUAGUGAUCCGGUGGUUCUGAAUGGAAGGGCCAUCGCUCAACGGAUAAAAGGUACUCCGGGGAUAACAGGCUGAUACCGCCCAAGAGUUCAUAUCGACGGCGGUGUUUGGCACCUCGAUGUCGGCUCAUCACAUCCUGGGGCUGAAGUAGGUCCCAAGGGUAUGGCUGUUCGCCAUUUAAAGUGGUACGCGAGCUGGGUUUAGAACGUCGUGAGACAGUUCGGUCCCUAUCUGCCGUGGGCGCUGGAGAAUUGAGGGGGGCUGCUCCUAGUACGAGAGGACCGGAGUGGACGCAUCACUGGUGUUCGGGUUGUCAUGCCAAUGGCAUUGCCCGGUAGCUAAAUGCGGAAGAGAUAAGUGCUGAAAGCAUCUAAGCACGAAACUUGCCCCGAGAUGAGUUCUCCCUGAGACUAUAAGUCUCCUGAAGGAACGUUGAAGACGACGACGUUGAUAGGUCGGGUGUGUAAGUGUAGCGAUACAUUGAGCUAACCGAUACUAAUGAACCGUGAGGCUUAACCUUACAACGCCGAAG
RNAcentral lists this ribosomal RNA (2927 nucleotides) under Citrobacter freundii. Its description in RNAcentral is "23S ribosomal RNA". It matches the Rfam family "Bacterial large subunit ribosomal RNA". Lineage: Bacteria; Pseudomonadati; Pseudomonadota; Gammaproteobacteria; Enterobacterales; Enterobacteriaceae. The record is from RNAcentral.